Molecule: unclassified non-coding RNA, 202 nt
Filed under: Hevea brasiliensis (rubber tree)
Lineage: Eukaryota; Viridiplantae; Streptophyta; Magnoliopsida; Malpighiales; Euphorbiaceae
Source: RNAcentral
GAUGAGGCGUGUUGCUGCUUCUAUCUAUAAGAAAGCUGGUAGGUGGAAGCAAUCUAUUGCUUUGUCAAAGAAAGAUAAUCUCUACAAAGAUGCUAUGGAGACAGCCUCACAAUCUGGAGAUCGCGAACUUGCGGAGGAGUUGCUUGUUUACUUCAUCGAACAGGGAAAGAAAGAAUGCUUUGCAUCAUGCCUCUUUGUUUGU